Molecule: non-coding RNA, 310 nt
Organism: Paramuricea clavata
Lineage: Eukaryota; Metazoa; Cnidaria; Anthozoa; Malacalcyonacea; Plexauridae
Source: the annotation of a GenBank genome assembly
AAAAAAAAGAAAACUAUUGAAAUAAAUGUAUUGUUAGAAUUUGAAUGCCUCAGCACUCUGCUGAACCCACACGUGCAUCAAAGCUUGACGUAAGUAAAUUUUAUGCAUAAAGAAACCGUUUAAGAAGCUGUUUUAAAUUCCCAAGAGCAGAAAAUCGUGCGCUUUACAAAGAUAUUUUAAUUUCUUAAUAAGUCAAUAUUUAAUAUAUGCACCCUUGUCAAUAUUUUACGCAUCUUUGCGUUCAGCUUCGUGCUAGGGCAUUCAAAUUUUAACAAUACGUUAUUUCAAUGGUUUUGCGGGGUUUUUUGGG